GAUGAACGCUGGCGGCGUGCCUAAUACAUGCAAGUCGAGCGAACGGACGAGAAGCUUGCUUCUCUGAUGUUAGCGGCGGACGGGUGAGUAACACGUGGAUAACCUACCUAUAAGACUGGGAUAACUUCGGGAAACCGGAGCUAAUACCGGAUAAUAUUUUGAACCGCAUGGUUCAAUAGUGAAAGACGGUUUUGCUGUCACUUAUAGAUGGAUCCGCGCUGCAUUAGCUAGUUGGUAAGGUAACGGCUUACCAAGGCAACGAUGCAUAGCCGACCUGAGAGGGUGAUCGGCCACACUGGAACUGAGACACGGUCCAGACUCCUACGGGAGGCAGCAGUAGGGAAUCUUCCGCAAUGGGCGAAAGCCUGACGGAGCAACGCCGCGUGAGUGAUGAAGGUCUUCGGAUCGUAAAACUCUGUUAUUAGGGAAGAACAAAUGUGUAAGUAACUGUGCACGUCUUGACGGUACCUAAUCAGAAAGCCACGGCUAACUACGUG
Molecule: ribosomal RNA, 497 nt
Filed under: uncultured bacterium
Lineage: Bacteria
Description: partial 16S ribosomal RNA
Rfam family: Bacterial small subunit ribosomal RNA
Source: RNAcentral